Molecule: ribosomal RNA, 253 nt
Filed under: uncultured bacterium
Lineage: Bacteria
Description: partial 16S ribosomal RNA
Rfam family: Bacterial small subunit ribosomal RNA
Source: RNAcentral
UACGAAGGGUGCAAACGUUGCUCGGAAUUAUUGGGCGUAAAGCGCACGUAGGCGGCUCUGCAAGUCGGAUGUGAAAUCCCUCGGCUCAACCAAGGAAGUGCAUCCGAAACUGCGGAGCUUGAGUACUUAAGAGGAUCGCGGAAUUCCCGGUGUAGAGGUGAAAUUCGUAGAUAUCGGGAGGAACACCAGUGGCGAAGGCGGCGAUCUGGGAAGAUACUGACGCUGAGACGCGAAAGCGUGGGGAGCGAACAGG